RNAcentral lists this ribosomal RNA (825 nucleotides) under uncultured bacterium. RNAcentral's name for it is "bacterial SSU rRNA". It matches the Rfam family "Bacterial small subunit ribosomal RNA", at positions 125 to 992 of the family's 1533-position model. The record is from RNAcentral.
CAUACCUUUCGGUUCGGAAUAGCCCCGGGAAACUGGGUGUAAUACCGAAUACGUCCUUAGGGAGAAAGAUUUAUCGCCGAAAGAUUGGCCCGCGUUAGAUUAGAUAGUUGGUGAGGUAACGGCUCACCAAGUCGACGAUCUAUAGCUGGUUUGAGAGGAUGAUCAGCCACACUGGGACUGAGACACGGCCCAGACUCCUACGGGAGGCAGCAGUGAGGAAUCUUGGACAAUGGGCGCAAGUGAUCCAGCCAUGCCGCGUGAAUGAUGAAGGCCUUAGGGUUGUAAAAUUCUUUCAGCAGGGAAGAUAAUGACGGUACCUGCAAAAGAAGCCCCGGCUAACUCCGUGCCAGCAGCCGCGGUAAUACGGAGGGGGCUAGCGUUGUUCGGAAUUACUGGGCGUAAAGCGCUCGUAGGCGGAUUGGUCAGUCAGAGGUGAAAGCCCAGGGCUCAACCUUGGAAUUGCCUUUGAUACUGCCAGUCUUGAGUUCAGGAGAGGUAAGCGGAAUUCCGAGUGUAGAGGUGAAAUUCGUAGAUAUUCGGAGGAACACCAGAGGCGAAGGGGCUUACUGGACUGAUACUGACGCUGAGGAGCGAAAGUGGGGAGCAAACAGGAUUAGAUACCCUGGUAGUCCACGCCGUAAACGAUGAGAGCUAGUUGUCUGGCAGCAUGCUGUUAGGUGACGCAGCUAACGCAUUAAGCUCUCCGCCUGGGGAGUACGGCCGCAAGUUAAAACUCAAAGAAAUUGACGGGGGCCCGCACAAGCGUGGAGCAUGUGGUUUAAUUCGAAGCAACGCGCAGAACCUUACCUACCCUUGACAUUUGGU